CUAAGAGAGAGAAAAUAGUGCUCCGAAGUCCAAAUAGGUUUCAACCGACCUUGGGAUGUAUGGUGCUCCGAAGCGUCGCUGACUAUAGAAAGGCCACCGCAUACAACGGCUAUAUUUCGGUUCAGCCUAAAGCACAGUUUGAUUUUCAAAAUGUAGCCGUUGCUAGUUCGCUCAGUCUCUCCACUAGCGAGGUUGGAUAGAAAGUUCGGGGGAGAAAGCAGAGCGUGGAGAGAGAGAGAGAAGGCUUCGACGAAGCAGCGGUCAGGUGACGAAACCCACCGCGCGCCAUCCCCUUUCUCUCGGGCGACGAAAACGGACGGAGAGGAGAGAAAGAGGGGAGAAGCAGAGAUCAGGGGGGAGAGAGAGGGGCGGGAGGGGAGAAAUAGAGGAAAAAGGUGACGAGAUCCACCGCAAGCCACUGCCCUGGCUGAACCCAUCGAUCGCUACUCGCAAAUUGCAGGCCAGGUAAUCUCUCAUCUAUACGUUUAGUAUUUCACCAUGAAUUAGGGUUUAUAGGUUUCCGUUUUCCCAUCCCUUAUUCUUUCUCACCAAGUAAUUGGAUCUCAUAAAAUAGGACAAAAAUUCAACGGAUUGUCUUUGACUGCCACUUUCAUUAACAAGGAGAUGACCUAAAUCAUUAUGUUGUGGAUUUUUGUAUUCUAGAAAUCAUUUUGUAUCUGAAAAUAUCAUGAAUUUGAUAGUGAGGUUUGGUUCGUCAUAAUCUAUAUUGGCCUACCACUUGUUGGGUUUCGUCAUUUGGUUGUAGGUCCCCACUGUUUAUUGUUUCGAUCCCAAACUAAAAAAUGGGCUUGAUUGGGUUACGUUUGGAAAUUGAUAUAUGCUUUCUUUUUAAUUAGCUCAUUGGUAAGAUUUGAAAUAUUGUGGAUACUCUUUUGAUGUCUUUUCAGGAGGUUCAGAUUUGAAAUAUUGUGUUUUACCUUUAGCACUGAUGUACACUUCAAUGGCCCGUGUCCAUAACAAAAAAUUUAAGCCAUUCAACUUAAUGGCAGUGAUUUGCAUGUUAAAAGGUAUUAGGUACAGUUACUUUCCGAAUUAAUGCAAUAAACAGAAUUUGAGUGGCAGUUUUUUUCAAAUUGACUGAAGCCAGAGACAAACUUGGACACAGAGGUGAUUGUUGAAGAACUUCUCAGAAACAGAGCAUGCCAACAGAAGCUCUUCAAUAGAGCACAUAGCAACACCAAAACGCGCAAACGUAAGAACCAACAUAUAUGGAGAAUCCUAAGAACAGUCAGCGAAACAAUGAAAGGCUGAUAGAACUUGCCAUAAAUCAUUAGAACUUGCUAUAAAUCAUUCAAACCCGACAACUAUGUCCUGUAAUACAUCUGCAUCCAGAUCUGGACACACUAGAAACACAUUUGUUCUCUUGUCUGUAACUGUCAAUGAAAAAGACAUCUGAUGUUCAAAACAUCACAAACAGUUUCACUGCAACCAACACAGCAGGAAUAAAAUCAGAUCAGAACCUCAAAUGAACAGAGAUAGUCCAUAAAUAUGGAAAUCAAUAGCAAAAAGAAAAGGGAAAGAAAUUUAUCACUGUUUAUUAUGGCAGGAUUGUAUUCCAUAAAGCAUAAACUGACAGUGUAAGUAUGUCGUUUGAUGUCGAACAAUUUUUCGUACAAUUAUAGACCAAAUUUCUGAACAUUAGUUAUGGAGAUGCUUGGAGAUUGUGAAUUUUAAUAGUUUGUGGACCUGCUUCUUAAUUGUUGUACGACUCUGGUUUUAAUUUUGGAGACAUGUGCUCUCUUAGUAGUCAUCUCAUUCAUCUUUUAACAUACACAGACAAA
Molecule: long non-coding RNA, 1802 nt
Organism: Macadamia integrifolia
Lineage: Eukaryota; Viridiplantae; Streptophyta; Magnoliopsida; Proteales; Proteaceae
Exons: 2
Source: RefSeq, a predicted model, not a curated record